GUGCAUGAUUUGGUGGUCUAACUUUGGUUGGAUCCUAUCUUGGAGGAAAGGCUGAGAUGUAUGACGACAAGCGAUGGAGUUUGCUGGUUAAGAGGGCAGCAAGGGGGCUAUUUGGUGGAUGAGGAGUGUUUGGCAUAUAUGGCAUACUAGAGGAGAGAUUUUUCAAAGGAUAAUGAUCGAGGUGGAGCUGAAAAAGCGACUAUACAGCUUUUGGAUGCAGGA
RNAcentral lists this long non-coding RNA (222 nucleotides) under Elaeis guineensis (African oil palm). RNAcentral describes it as "long non-coding RNA (EGUI_LNC026016)". The record is from RNAcentral. Lineage: Eukaryota; Viridiplantae; Streptophyta; Magnoliopsida; Arecales; Arecaceae.